GCCCCCCUGUGGGUCUGGGAGGGCCUUGGUGGACCUCAGGUGGGCACCUGGGGCUGCAGGUGAAGGGGAGGUUCAGUCAGGCUGCCCGCCGGCUCAGGAUGGGGCAGAAUUCACGUUUCUGGAGAGGCCAGUGGAUCUGGGUGCAGGCAGUGCAGGUGACGAUUACCAGCUUCAGUCUGUGCGCAAAUCCUGUUCCUAGACAUCCCACCCCUCAUUUUCCUCUCGUGUUGACCGGGAUCGAAUCACAACACUAACACCAGGUGUGAGGAGCAGGUUUGAGCGCUACCUGUGCAAAGCCCUGCUCUAAGAGCUGCCUUCAGUUUUCCUCAUCUGUAGCCUGGGAAUAGUAAUAGCAAGCAAGAACUAACCUGUAAGGAGGGCUUCCUGUGGCAGAACAGUUCCUGUUCUCGUCGUGGCAGGAGAUUAUUUCAUCUAACCCUGUCAAAGGACAAACUGGCGGGGCAUCCCCUCACUCACUCUGCGCAAGGCACCAGCCUCCUUGCUCAGGAUAAAUAGGCUCAGAGCCACCUUGAGCCUUUGAAAAGGCUGUCGCCUCUACCGAAAGCACCCUUCUGAAGUUUCAAAGCUUGAACUGUCACAUCCAGGUGAAUAUACCGUCUAAAAAUCCGUAGCUCUCAUGAUAUGGGUAAGGUUAUGAAAAGUCACGGAGUUAGCAUUAGGAUUAAGGGUCCAAGUAAGAGUCUGAGUUGGGACCAGGGUCAGGGAAAGGAUCAAGAGUCAAUGUCAGAGGCCGGAUUCAGUCUCACCUUUCAUUGUUAGGAUCAGUGUCAAGGCCAGGGACAGGGAUAGGAAUUAGUGACUGAGGCCAUGGCCAUUCCCACACAAGACCAUGGUUCAAGUCAGGGACUAUUGACCCAAACUAUGGCAGAGUGGACCAUGAUCUCCUUGCUACUGGGGCCACUUCUUUGGGAAUGAACUGACUUAUGCAAUAUAGGGAGAGACCAAAAAUUUCAAAUGAUCCUUAAAACCAGAACCCAUCUUGUACAGACUGCCUGGGGUUAGGGUCAGGAUUAAGGUCUAUGGUUGGGCUCUGGUUCAAGUUCAGGGUCAGGGUCAAUGUUGGGGGUCAAGGUCAGUGCUAGGCUAGGAUUUAGGGCUGGGGUCGGGAUCAGAGUUUAGGGUUAUGGGUCAGGAUUAGAGGGUUAGGGUUGGAGGGUCAAGGUUUAGAGUUUAGGGGUCAGAGUUCACGGUGUAGGGAUCUGGGGCUAGGGUUGUUAGGGUUUAGAGUUAGAUAUCAGGGGAUUAGAGUUACAGCUUAGAGUGUUAGAAUCAGAGGAUUAGGGUUAGAGUUUUAUUUAAGCAUAACUGGUCCUCUUCCCCCUCCUAACUCUCCAUCUUUGUGAGGCGUCCAGGAAGGGUAGGACUUUCCCAGGGUCACACAUGAGUCAGAAAGGUAAGCUGGACUGUUGAAUUUCUGUACCCCAGUACUGUGCUCUGAUAGAAGAAUGAAAUGUCUAUUCUAGUCACUGAUUGUUUCAAAUCUAACUCCACUCAGUCAAGUGUUGUGGAGAGCCCCAGAAGUCCCACAGGGUGUCCCUCUGUCCUCCCACCUGGGAAAGGAGGUGCUGCCCCGCUCUGUCUGGGAAUCCCCAGAUUCCAGCACAGCCCUGACACACAGAGCACUAGACAACAUGUGCGGAUUUAUACAGGACUGGGUGUAGCCACCUGCCAGCCCCCAGGUGCUGCCUACUUGCAGGCUUGUUGGGCGCUUCUGAGACUGAAUGGAUCCUUUGUCCCAUUGAAGUAGCAGGCAGUAGAUAGUCAGGUCUUAGCCAGGACAGCCCUUGCCCUUCAACCAUCCAGGCAGGCAUUUGCAGUCCUCUAGCUCAGGCCAGCCUGGGCCCUGUGUAGCCCUUGUUGCUAGUUACUGAGCUGACCAUGCUUCUGUGCAGUUGAAUAGCUACCUGGGCAGUGUGGACAUCCCCUUGGAUGUUUCAGUUCCCUACAUCCAUGUGAUUGAAAGAAGUGUCUCUUCCCUCACAGCCUUUUAGUCUGCCCAGAGAGGUAGUAACCCUCCAAACAUUGAAUGUGGCACUGGGCAGAACAACCAAACAGCAGACUGUUACCCUGCAAUUCUUUGGCUUUCCAGUUGUAAUAAACUUUUUUUUUUUUAAAGCUCUUUUUUGGAAUAUAAUUGCUUUACACUGUUGUGCCAGUUUUUGCUGUACAACAAAGUGAAUCAUUGGUAUUUAUACAUAUAUCCCCAUAUCCCCUGCCUCCCGUGACUCCCUCCCACCCUUCCUAUCCCAUCCCUCGAAGUCAGUGCCCAUCAUCAAGUUGAUCUCUCUGUUUUAUGCAGCAGUUUCCCACUAGCUGUCUGUUUUACAUUUGGUAGUGUAUAUAUGUCAAUGCUAUUCUCUUGCUUUGUGCCAACUUCCCCUUUGCCCCCCAACCCAUGUCCUCAAGUCCAUUCUGUACAACUGCAUCUUUAUUCUUGCCCUGUCACUGAGUUCGUCAGUACCAAUUUUUUAGAUUCCAUGUAUAUGAGUUAGCAUACGGUAUUUGUUUUUCUCUUUCUGGCUUACUUGGCUCUGUAUGACAGACUCUAGGUCCAUCCACCUCACUACAAAUAACUCAGUUUCAUUCCUUUUUAUGGCUGAGUAAUAUUCCAUGGUAUAUAUGUGCCACAUCUUCUUUAUCCAUUCAUCUGUUGAUGGACAUUUAGGUGGCUUCCAUGUCCUGGCUAUUGUAAAUAGUGCUGCAGUGAACAUUGGGGUACAUGUGUCUUUUUGGAUUAUGAUUUUCUCAGGGUAUGUGCCCAGUAGUGGGAUUGUUGGGUGAUAUGGUAGUUCUAUUUUCAGUUUUUUAAGGAACCUUCAUACUGUUUUCCAUAGCGGCUGUACCAAGUUACAUUCCCACCAACAUUGCAGGAGGGUUCCCUUUUCUCCGCACCCUCUCCAGCAUUUAUUGUUUCCAGAUUUUUUGUUGAUGGCCAUUCUGACUGGUGUGAGGUGAUACCUCAUUGUGGCUUUGGCUUGCAUUUCUCUAAUGAUUAGUGCUGUUGAGCAUCUUUCAUGUGUUUAUUAGCCAUCUGCAUGUCUUCUUUGGAGAAAUGUCUAUUUAGGUCUUCUGCCCAUUUGUGGAUUGGGUUAUUUGCUUUUUUGGUAUUAAGCUGCAUGAGCUGCUUGUAUAUUUUGGAGAUAAUCCUUUGUCGGUUGCUUCAUUGGCAAAUAUUUUCUACCAAUCUGAGGGUUGUCUUCUUGCCUUGUUUAUGGUUUUUUUUCGCUGUGCAAAAGCUUUUAAGUUUCAUGAGGUCCCAUUUGUUUAUUCUUGAUUUUAUUUCCAUGAUUCUAGGAGGUGGGUCAAAAAAGAUCUUGCUCUGAUUUAUGUUAUAGAGUGUUCUGCCAUUAUAGAGUGUUCUGCUUAUGUUUUCCUCUAAGAGUUUUAUAGUGUCUGGCCUUACAUUUGGAUCUUUAAUUCAUGUUGAGUUUAUUUUUGUAUAUGGUGUUAGGAAGUAUUCUAAUUUCAUUCUUUUACAUGUAGCUGUCCAAUUUUCCCAGCACCACUUAUUGAAGAGGCUGUCUUUUUUUCCAUUGUAUAUUUUUCCCUCCUUUGUCAAAGAUAAGGUACCCAUAUGUGCAUGGGUUUAUCUCUGGGCUCUCUAUUGUGUUCCAUUAAUCUAUAUUUCUGUUUUUGUUCCAGUACCAUACUGUCUUGAUCACUGUAGCCUUGUCGUAUAGUUUGAAGUCAGGAAGCCCGAUUCCUCCAGCUCCAUCUUUCCUUCUCAAGAUUGCUUUGGCUAUUCUAGGUCUUUUGCGUUUCCAUACAAACCAUAAAAUUUUUUGUUCUAGUUUUGUGAAAAAUGCCAUUGGUAGUUUGAUAGGGAUUGCAUUGAAUCUGUCAAUUGCUUUGGGUAGGAUAGUCAUUUUCACAGUGUUGAUUCUUCCAAUCCAAGAACAUGGUAUGUCUCUCCAUCUGUUUGUAUCAUCUUUGAUUUCUUUCAUCAGCAUCAUAUCGUUUUCUGCAUGGAGGUCUUUUGCCUCCUUAGGCAGGUUUAUUCCUAGAUCUUUUAUUCCUUUUGUUGCAAUGGCAAAUGGGAUUGUUUCCUUAAUUUCUCUUUCUGCUCUUUUGUUGUUAGUGUAUAGGAAUGCAAGAGAUUUCUGUGCAUUAAUUUUGUAUCUUGCGUUUUUACUAAAUUCAUCGAUUAGUGCUAGCAGCUUUCUGGUAGAAUCUUUAGGGUUUUCUAUGUAUAAUACCAUGUCAUCUGCAAAGAGUGACAAUUGUACUUCUUUCCCAGUUUGGAUUCAUUUUAUUUGUUUGUCUUCUCUGAUUGCUGUGGCUAAAACUUCCAGAACUAUGUUGAAUAAUAGUGGUGAGAGUGGGCAUGCUUGUCUUUUUCCUGUCCUUAGAAGGAAUGUUUUCAGUUUUUAACCAUUUAGAAUGAUGUUGGCUUUUGGUUUCUCAUGUAUGACUUUUAUUAUGUUGAGGUAACUUCCGUCUAUGCCCAUUUUCUGGAGAGUUUUUAUCAUAAAUGGAUGUUAAAUUUUGUCAAAAGCUUUCUCUGCAUCUAUUGAGAUAAUCAUAUGGUUUUUAUCCUUCAGUUUGUUGAUAUGAUGUAUCUCAUUGAUUGAUUUGCAUUUAUAGAAUUCUUGCAUCCCAGGGAUAAACCCCACUUGAUCAUGGUGUAUGAUUUUCUUAAUGUGUUGUUGGAUUCUUUUAGCUAGUAUUUUGUUGAGGAUUUUUGCAUCUAUAUUCAUCAGUGAUAUUGGUCUGUAAUUUUCUUUUUUUUUGACAUCUUUGUCUGGUUUUGGUAUCAGUGUGAUGGUGGCCUCGUAGAAUGAGUUUGGGAGUGUUCCUCCUCCUGCUAUAUUGAGAAGAAUAGGUGUCAGCUCUUCUCUAAAUGAUUGAUAGAAUUCUCCUGUGAAGCCAUCUGGCCCUGGGCUUUUGUUUGUUGGGAGAUUUUUAGUCACAGUCUCAAUUUCAGUGCUUGUGAUUGGUCUACUCAGAUUUUCUAUUUCUUCCCGGUUCAGUCUUGGAAGAUUGUACUUUUCGAAGAAUUUGUCCAUUUCUUCCAGCUUAUCCAACUUAUUGGCAUAUAGUUUCUUGUAGUAGUCUCUCAUGAUCUUUUGUAUUUCUGCAGUGUUGGUUGUUACUUCUCCUUUUUGCGAUUGUUUCGUUCAUUUCUUUUUCGUUUAUUUCUGAUCUGAUCUUUAUGAUUUCUUUCCUUCUGUUCACUUUGGGGUUUUUUUGUUGUUGUUAUUCUUCUUUCUCUAAUUGUUUUAGGUGUAGGUUUAGGUUGUUUAUUCGAAAUUUUUCUUGUUUCUUGAGGUAGGAUUUUAUCGCUAUAAAUUUCCCUCUUAGAACUGCUUUUGCUGCUUCCCACAGGUUUUGGGUUGUCGUGUUUUCCUUGUCAUUUGUUUCUAGGUAUUUUUUGAUUUCCUCUUUGAUUUCUGCAGUGACUUCUUGGUUGUUUAAUAGCAUAUUGUUUAGCCUCCAUGUGUUUGUAUGUUUUACAGUUUUUUUCCUGUAAGUGAUAUCUAGUCUCGUGGCAUUGUGGUUGGAGGAGAUGCUUGAUAUAAUUUCAGUUUUCUUGAAUUUACCAAGGCUUGAUUUGUGACCCAAGAUAUGAUGUAUCCUGGAGAAUGUUCCCUGUGCACUUGGGAAGAAAUUGUGUCUGUAGGUUUUGGAUAGACUGUCCUAUAAAUAUCAAUUAAGUCAAGGUGGUCUAGUAUGUCAUUUAAAGCCUGUGUUUCUUUAUUUGUUUUCUGUUUGGAUGAUCUGUCCAUUGGUGUGAGGGGGGUGUUAAAGUCUCCUACUAUUAUUGUGUUACUGUCAACUUCCCCUAUUAUGGCUGUUAGCAUUUGCCUUAUAUAUUUGCCUUAUAUACUGAGGUGCUCCUAUGUUGGGUGCAUGGAUAUUUGCAAUUGUUAUAUCUUCUUCUUGGAUUAAUCCCUUGGUCAUUAUGUAGUGUCUUUCCUUGUCUCUUGUAAUAGUCUUUAAGGUCUAAUUUGUCUGAUAUGAGUAUUGUUAUGCCAACUUUCUUUUGACUUCCAUUUUUAUAGAAUACAUUUUUCUAUCCCCUUACUUUCAGUCUGUAUGUGUCCCUAGAUCUGAAGUGGGUUCCUUGUAGAUAAUAUAUAUAAGGGUCUUGUUUUUGUAUCCAUUCAGCCAGUCUGUGUCUUUUGCUUGGAGCAUUUAAUCCAUUUACAUUUAAGGUAAUUAUCGACAGUAUGUUUCUAUUACCAUUUUCUUAAUUGUUUUGGCUUUGUUUUUGUAGGUCUUUUCCUUCUCUUGUGUUUACUGCCUAGAGGAGUUCCUUUACCAGUUGUUGUAAGGCUGGAUUGGUGGUGCUGAAUUCUCUUAACUUUUGCUUGUCUGUAAAGCUUUUGAUUUCCCUGUCGAAUCUGAAUGAGAUUCUUGCUGGGUAGAGUAUUCUUGGCUGUAGGUUUUCCUCUUUCAAGACUUUAAUUAUAUCCUGCCACUCACUUCUGGCCUGCAGAGCUUGUGCAGAGAGAUCAGCUGUUAUCCUUAUGGGUUUUCCUUUGUAUGUUAUUUGUUGCUUUUCUCUUGCUGCUUUUAAUAUUUUUUCUUUGUGUUUAAUUUUCAUUAGUUUGAUUAAUAUGUGCCUUGGUGUAUUUCUCCUUGGGUUUAUUCUGUAUGAGACUCUCUGCACUUCUUGGACUUGGUUAAUUAUUUCCUUUCCCAUAUGGGGGAAGUUUUCCACCAUAAUCUCCUCAAAUAUUUUCACAGACCGUUUCUUUUUUUCUUCUUCUUCUGGGAUGUCUACGAUUCAAAUGUUGGUACACUUAAUGUUAUCCCCGAGGUCUCUGAGACUGUCUUCCAUUCUUUUUAUUCUUUUUUCUUUUUCCUGCUCUGUGGCAAUUAUUUCCACCAUUCUGUUUUCCAACUCACUUACUCAUGCUUCUGCCUCAGUUAUUCUGCUGUUUAUACCAUCUAGAGUAUUUUUAAUUUCAGUUAUUGUGUUGUUCAUUACUAUUUGUUUGCUCUUUAGUUCUUCUAGGUCCUUAUUAAAUGUUUCUUUUAUUUUCUCCAUUUUGUUUUUGAGAUUUUGGAACAUCUUUACUGUCAUUACCCUGAAUUCUUUUUCAGGCAAUUUUCCAAUUUCUUCUUCAUUUAUUUGGCCUCGUGGGUUUUUAUUUUGCUCUUUUGCCUGCAAGGUGUUUGUUUUCUCAUUUUGUCUAAUUUAUCGUAUUUGCUGUCUCCUUUCCCUAUGCUGCCUAGUAGUCAUUCCUCUUGUCCCUAUUCUGUUUGGCUUGAGGUAUCAAGCACUGAAGCUUGCUGGCCUUUGGUUGGAUUUGGAGCUUGGUGUUGAGAAUGAGAAUUCUGGGGGAGCACUUGCUGAGUAAUAUUCCAUGGGGUCGGGAGUUCUCUGGUGGUCCAACAUCCUGGAUUCUGCUCUGCUGUCUCAGAGGUCCAGGUUUGAUCCCCAGCCAGGGCACCAAGACCUUGGAAGCUGCACAGCGUGGAGAAAGAGGAGGUAGAAGGAGAGCAAAGAAAAAAAGGAAGAAAAAAGGGAAGAAGGGGAAAGGACAGACAGAUCCCCAAGACUGGUGGUAAAAACAACUCUAAUCAGUCAAAAUCACACAAGGAGAUAUGCACCCUCGCGCUUGCAAAAAGAGAAGAGGAAAAGAAACCAAAGGGAAGAGAAAAAGAGAGAGCAAAGAAAAGAAGGAAGAGAGUACUCAUACCAAUUACAAGCAAAUCCACAUACAAAUAUAUACAGUAAAGAUUAAACUAAUAAAUACCUAAAACCAGAAACAAGACAAACAUACCAAGUCCUCCAGUACUUCUAGGUAGGGCUCUGCCCCUGCUGUGGAGAGGACUGGGGAGAGCUCAGACUGUGAUCUGCUGUUAGUCCUGUGUGUAUUUGUCCCCACAGUCCCCCGUUGCCCCCUAUGUCUACAGUCUCUAUUGUAGAAACACUCGUCUCUUCAGGUGAUCCACAGAUGCAGGGUCUAUGGAGCCUAUUGUGAGUAUUAAAUCUGCUCCUGCUGCAGCUGUUUCCCUUUCUUUUCUUUGGUCCUGCAGUCCUCGGGGAUCAGUUUUGGCUUUGGUCCCUUCUUUGCGUGUGGCUUGCUCUGAGGAGUCGGUUCCCUGCCCAGGCAAGAGGGGGUGAAAGCGAGUGAUUGGGGCUCACUUGCAACGUCAGGUCAGGGGGAGGGAGGGAUAUGGCAGUCUAGUUGAAAUUUGUGGGAGUGCUUGCAGCUGCAGAGCUCAGUGUGAGCUUGAGGUGUGCCCUGCGUUCUCCUAGGGACGUUGAUGCUGAACACGGGAUCUUUGGUGUUGGUGGACUUCACCUACUGCCGGGAGGGUGUGGCCAAUAGCCUGCGUUACACACAGGACCCUUGGUGGCAGUGGGUGGGUGGGUGGCGGUGCACAGUGGCGGGCAGGCUUUUCAGUCCAGCACGGGUUGUGCUGCUCUGCAGCCUGUGAGUUCAAGGAGAGGGAAGCUCCUCCCAAGCACUCAGAAACAAAGGUCCCUUGCCUCUCUGUCUGGCCCAAGAUUUUCCCCAAACUCCCUCCUAGCUAGCUGGUGCACCUGCCCCCCAGGCUGUUCUCCUGCAGCCAGCCCCAGCUCACUCCCUGGUGUCUGUUCUCAGAAGCCCAAGCCUUGGCUCCCAGCCCCCAACCUCCUCCGGGGGUGAGCAGAUGAGCUUCUCUGGCUGGGGAUUGCUACCUGACUCCCACGCGGGGAUCUCUCUGCUCUGCCCUCUGAACACCUGCUGUUGCUCUCUCUUCUGGGGCUCUGAGGCUCCCCCUUCCGUCCCCGCCAGUGAGGGGGCUCCCCCGUGUGUGGAAGCCUUCCCUCCCUCCCAGCUCCCUCCCAGAGGGGCCGGUCUCCUCAGGACUCGUUUGUCUCUUUUUUUCCCCUUUCCUUCGUGUUACCCAAUUACAUGGGAAUUCGCUUGCCUUUGUGGAGGUCUGAGGUCUGCCAGCAUUCGGAAGGUGUUCUGCAGGAGCGACUCCACAAGUAGAGAUUCCACAGCUGUCAGUGAUACAGAAGCAGCCACUUUCCCUGAAUGGGUAGCUGUUCUCAUGGCCAAGUCCAGCAGCUCAGCUUUCCUGGGGGCACUGCUUGUUACCUGCGUCCAAUCCACACAUUUCCAGAGGGCUGCCCCCAUGUUCCACCCGCAGUGAAGGUGGGUUUCUGAUCCAUGUCUAGCCAGUCCUAUGCUCCAUCCUCUUGGUGCUCUGAUGGGUUCAAGAAUGAAAAUGUGACCCAAGCCAAAGCCAUUUUAGACCAUGACUUUUCAUGGGAAGGAGAAACCCUUUCUGGUAAAUGAACAUUGAGUGGGUGUCAGCCUGGAGUUGCUGGAGGCCCUGGAUGCAGUGAGAGAGACUGUGCCUGUGAACGGGGCCACCCCAAGUCACCUGGCAGGACAUAGGGUUGGAGAGGGACCAGGUCACACUGCAAGAGAGUGAGCCCCUCAACCUGCCCUGUCCAAAGCCACUCAGACUUGCCACUUGAAUGUAUGAAUUUAUUUCUACCACUUAAAAUAUUUUAAAAUAUUUUAGUUCAGUAAGAGUGUCCAGUCCCUUGGAAUCAGAAAAGUCCUUGCUGCCUCGUCAGAAUCAAUGCUCUGAGUGGAAAACCCCAGUACAAUGAGAGGAGAACCAGCAGGGAAAAGACGUCCCUGGAUGGCUGAUUUGUUUGUAUUUUUUUUUUUUAAGGUCCAUCUUGUUAAUGUGUGCUUUUACUAAGAAAUCACCCAGUUCCUCUUGGUUUCCAGUUUGAUGCAAUAGGUUUCUCUCAUUUGAUUUUUAUUCUUUGAUUUUUAAUUUCUCCCCUCUUUCUAGUUUUCUACAUAAUUCUUACAACUAAUAAACAAAUACUGAUAACCUUACUAUUAACUAUAGUCCAUAUUUUAUUUGGGUUCCCUUCAUUCUAAUUUUUUCUGUUCCAGGAUUCCAUCCGUGGUACCACAUGAUAUGUCAUCAUCUUUAGGCUCUUCUUGUCUUUGACAGUUUCUCAGACUUUUCUUGUUUCAAUGACCUUGACAGGAGGAAGUCGCUAUGUGGAACCCACACUUCAGGAGAGGGGUUUUAGCUCUUCCUCCUUGAAGGAUGGCUAAGUGUGUAUAUCAAUUAUUUGGAAUCCUCCUGCAUAGGAGAUUUCUAUUUAAUCCCAUCAAUUAUCUAGCCGUCUCCUGCAUACAAUAUUUCUAUUCAAUCCUAUUAAUAAAAUACCUUUGCAAUCAUUUAUUUUCACCAGUGUGGA
Molecule: long non-coding RNA, 10201 nt
Organism: Hippopotamus amphibius kiboko
Lineage: Eukaryota; Metazoa; Chordata; Mammalia; Artiodactyla; Hippopotamidae
Exons: 3
Source: RefSeq, a predicted model, not a curated record